Molecule: ribosomal RNA, 677 nt
Filed under: Macgregoria racemigera
Lineage: Eukaryota; Viridiplantae; Streptophyta; Magnoliopsida; Celastrales; Celastraceae
Description: eukaryotic LSU rRNA
Rfam family: 5.8S ribosomal RNA (bases 281-436)
Source: RNAcentral
UUUCCGUAGGUGAACCUGCGGAAGGAUCAUUGUCGAAACCUGUCCGAACGGAACGAUCGUGAAUUUGUCGUUUUAAACAUGCGGAAGGGGUCCGGCGACGGAUCCGCGUCCGCUGCGGCUGAGGCGAUGAUGCGGCUUGCGCCAUUCCUCGCCCUCUGCUGCAAAAGAACACAAAAUUCGGCGCGAAUCGCGUCAAGGAAUCCGAACGAAUGUUUCGCGCCGUCCCAUGCCGUACUCGGUGUGGGCAGCGGCGUUGAAGUCUUUAUACGAUAAAUCUAAUGACUCUCGGCAACGGAUAUCUCGGCUCUCGCAUCGAUGAAGAACGUAGCGAAAUGCGAUACUUGGUGUGAAUUGCAGAAUCCCGUGAACCAUCGAGUCUUUGAACGCAAGUUGCGCCCGAAGCCGUUAGGCUGAGGGCACGCCUGCCUGGGUGUCACACAACGACGCCGACAUGCACCGCGCUUUCGGCGGAGAAUGGCCUCCCGCGAACUUUUGUGUCACGGUUGUCCCAAAUCCACCAGCCCUCGGCGAAGCGCAGUCACGAUGUUCGGUGGAUUGCUGCCGGAAGACACUCGUGCGCGCGCGUCGCGCUGUGGGUGCGAUGGACCCCGGGAGACGUAUGUCUCCUCUGCUGUCAUGCGACCCCAGGUCAGGCGGGGACACCCGCUGAGUUUAAG